Long non-coding RNA from Camelina sativa (false flax), 526 nucleotides. RefSeq lists it as uncharacterized. Lineage: Eukaryota; Viridiplantae; Streptophyta; Magnoliopsida; Brassicales; Brassicaceae. The record is from RefSeq and is a predicted model, not a curated record.
GGAUCACAGAAAAAAAGAUCUCGCCUCCUUCUUCCACUCUCUUCUCCUUUACCAUCUUCCUUCUUCUUCUCCUUCCUCUUUUUCUAGACUCUACUACAUAUUGGUCUUCUUAGUUCUCGUCUUUCUCCUCAUAUUAUCUUCGUUUGUUUUUUUCUUCUAAAUCGGAAGCUUUAAUCCAUACUUAACAAUGGCAGCUCGGACCGAGAAUCUCCCUCAACUUAAUCCGCCUUCAAUUAACAUACAGCGUGAGUGAAAAUGUUAGAAACGGACUCAUCAACAUCCUUCAACGCAGCCUCACUUAAAGGUGGAACAGGGCGGUCGACGAACGCCAUUGCUGUCACCGUUACCAUCACAGCCAUCGCUGCUCAUGCGGCAGCCUAUAUCUUUGUCAAAACCCUAACAUUUUGUUGGGUUGGGCUAUUAAUUGAAUCUUGGGUUUUUGUUAAUUGUAUUUUGGGCCUUUUAUUGUAUUUGUAAUGAGUUUUUAGUGGAUUUGGAUCUUUUUUAUAAAGUAAAUUUUCGUAUU